AUUGAACGCUGGCGGCAUGCCUUACACAUGCAAGUCGAACGGUAACGGGCCUUCGGGUGCCGACGCGUGGCGAACGGGUGAGUAAUACACCGGAACGUGCCCGAUCGUGGGGGAUAACGAGGCGAAAGCUUUGCUAAUACCGCAUACGAUAUACGGUUGAAAUCCGUGGACCGCAAGGCCUUGCGUGGACGGUGCGGCCGAUGGCAGAGUAGGUAGUUGGUGGGAUAAAAGCUUACCAUGCCGACGAUCUGUAGCUGGUGUGAGAGGAUGAUCGGCCACACUGGGACUGAGACACGGCCCAGACUCCUACGGGAGGCAGCAGUGGGGAAUUUUGGACAAUGGGCGCAAGCCUGAUCCAGCCAUGCCGCGUGCAGGAUGAAGGCCUUCGGGUUGUAAACUGCUUUUGUACGGAACGAAAAGCCUUCUUUUAAUACAGGGGGGUCAUGACGGUACCGUAAGAAUAAGCACCGGCUAACUACGUG
This 482-nucleotide ribosomal RNA is filed under the name uncultured bacterium. Its description in RNAcentral is "partial 16S ribosomal RNA". It matches the Rfam family "Bacterial small subunit ribosomal RNA", at positions 30 to 507 of the family's 1533-position model. The record is from RNAcentral.